Molecule: long non-coding RNA, 735 nt
Filed under: Ananas comosus (pineapple)
Lineage: Eukaryota; Viridiplantae; Streptophyta; Magnoliopsida; Poales; Bromeliaceae
Description: long non-coding RNA (ACOM_LNC015150)
Source: RNAcentral
AAACCGGUCGUGGUUCUGGUGAGCGGGGGUUGUGAGUUAGCAUUAUAUGUCAGUGGGUUAAACCUUAACCCGUUGGACCUUUCGUAGGUUCGGUCGCACCGUCUUCACAGUCGAGAGACCUUCGUCAGAUACGUACAGGUGGGUACUUCGACCCGACGUCGGUACAGUGGUGCACGCUCGGUGACGUUCCUUCCACCCUUCCUAUUUACAUUGCUUAUCAUAUACAUUGCUUAUCAUAUUAUCCUCGUAUUACUCUACUCGAUUGUUUCCAUGCUCGGUAUCUUGUGUAGGAGUAGAGUAGAUUUCUUCAGCAUAUGAUAUCUGUGAUCUGGUUGGUUGAUUCUCCCUUGUUGUAUCUAUGACCUGGUUGGUCGAGUUUCAUACUCCAUACUUGUGACCUGGUUGGUCGAUUUGGUUACAUGAUGACCCAUGCGGUCGAUGGGCCCUGGGGGGCAGGAUUGUCGGCUGGUUGCCGACGGUUGAUCAUUGAGCAUAUUGCAUUGAUCGCCCGAUACUCGUCGCAUUUCACGAACACUGGCGGUCUGAUCCACCGCAAGGAGUGUUCUUUUCCGGAAAAGUGGUUGAAUGGUGACAACCCGUGAGCCCUAAAGGGGUAAUAUGCACUGGAGAGUAGUUGUGGCAUUGGCUUGAGGUCUGCGGUGCUGACCAAGAGAGCAGUGGGUUCAGAUUGGGUACUUUUGGACUGAUUGUCCCCUUGAUGCAUACAUACAGUAG